This 1035-nucleotide unclassified non-coding RNA is filed under the name Hevea brasiliensis (rubber tree). Lineage: Eukaryota; Viridiplantae; Streptophyta; Magnoliopsida; Malpighiales; Euphorbiaceae. The record is from RNAcentral.
AGAGCUGUUCUUUGAACUUAUUUCACAUUCAUCUUCCAACUUACUAGUAAACAAGGCAUUUAGAACAAUGGGUACUGCUUCAUUAUCUUUGCAAGACUAUCUGAAUCCAGUUUCUAAACUUUCAAUUGAAAAAUGGGUGGAAUUGCAGCCCAGUUCUGGCAAUUUGAGCUCAAAGCCGAUCUGCCUACGAAUUGCUGUCUCAUUGACUGUUCCCAUCCAAUCACCAUAUGUACUUCACAUGGUUCGUUCAAAAUCACUUUCAAAAACUUGUUUUUUCCCUCUUUCUGGAAGGGUUCAACAUGCUAAAGUUUGGACACACAUCACUGAUGAAAAUGAUGCGGAGGUCAUCAGCCUGCAAAUGAGGGACUCGACAGUGGCAAAGACAACCGACAAGAGCAUGCUUAAGAAGCAAGUAGUUGGUUCUAUGAAAUCUGGUGAGAUACGUGUACUGGCAGAGUUUACGAGGACUCAUUGGUCAUUAAUGGAUUCUCAGUGGUGCCUUCAGUUUAAAACAAAAUCUGAUGAAGAUGGUCAUUACUGUGAUCUCAUUGGCAGCAGGAUGAUAAAAGUUUUUCAUGGCAGAAAGCUGGAUUUUGAGCCCAAACGCUGUGAGAAGCAAAGAAAUGAACAAGAUUUUGUCACCGCGGUUGAAUUUUCUGCAGAGGAUCCAUAUGGUAAAGCAGUGGCAUUGCUCGACUUGAAGUCUGGGUCUGUCAAGGUGAAAGAAGAAUGGUUGGUGUUGCCUGCAAUCAUUUCAGCUUUUAUACUUGCUGAUAUUUUGAAAAAUAAAGGGAAUAGGGGCUUCAUUAUUAACAGUGAAAAUUUGGAGUUGGAUGGUAAUGUUGAAGAGGUCAGUGGGUUAAAUGAAGAAACCAAACAAAAGACUACCGCAAAAAGCAAAGAGGAGGUGAAUGUGGAUGACAUAAAGAGUGGAGGCUGUGGAGGUGGUUGCGGUGGUGCAUGUGGAAACAUGGAAAGAAAAGUGGAGUUGAAUGUGGAUGAAAUAAAGAGUGGAGGCUGUGGUGGUGGUUGUGG